RNAcentral lists this long non-coding RNA (1501 nucleotides) under Homo sapiens (human). Its description in RNAcentral is "non-protein coding lnc-ATP23-1:1". Lineage: Eukaryota; Metazoa; Chordata; Mammalia; Primates; Hominidae. The record is from RNAcentral.
GAGAGUUCCAAGAGGUUGUUCAGGGGAAAUACAGAGCCUCAGAGCUCUGGUACUAGGAGGACCUUAAAGACCAGUUAGGACAGCCCCCUCAUUUUACUGGAAGGCUAAUUUGAAACAGAAUGGAAUUUGGCAGGGGCUAGGAUCCCUUUUUUCUUCGGAGGCUUCAUUUCCUGAAAGACACAGUGUCCGUGAUGAACUGAUUUCACUAAUUCGCUCAUUGCAUUUUUUAAAAACCUCAGCGGUCCAGAUCUGGCUUCUUUUGAAGGUGACAACACUAGGCCUAUGCCUCAUCCCCAGCAGGUGACCAAUGGAGGAAAAUAAAAUAGAACUUCAACAUGCUCUCUGACGAACUUGAACCCCUGGUACUGGUUGCUCUGAGAAGCCAUGGGUUUCCUUCCUUGGACAAUUUCAGAGCCCAUCAUUAUGGUUUAUGGAAAGGAAGUGGCACUGAGAGAGACCCUUGCUUCUCCUGGCAGCUCUUCUCCCUUGAGAAAGCUCCUCAACUUCUCCUGAGCUUAGUUUCAGAAGUGAUUGUUCAUCCUCUCCCACUGGGAGUCCUGGGAUGGGCUCCGUAUAUUUUACUCCAGCCACAGGCGGAUGAGUGAGAUGACCUUUUCAGGUCACUCAGGAGAUCCUCCAGUUUCUCAGGAUAAUCUAAGCAUCUCCCUUUCCUUUAGAAGCUGUCAGAGCUAACUCAGCGUGGGUGUGGGCUCUUUGCAGCUACACCACCUCCCCUCCAAUAUUUAGAAGUUCUUUGCUGGUUCUUAGGGUCUCCUAAUCACAGGUCUUUUUUUCUGGGCUCUGCCUGAAAGGCCACAUCCGUUUUUUCCCUGAAAGCUAGCUAGGUCCUCUGGGCUAAACACCACCGCCCCUCAGCUCUAGAAAUGGCUGAUUUUCAUGACGCCCUUUGCCAACCAGAUUAUUUCUUAAAUUGCUCUCCCCCCUGCUGGGUGUUCUGGGACACAGACGCCAGUGUGUGGGGUCCCCGGCUUUCCUUUCUCCCAGAGCAGCUGGAGGAGAGCCUCAGUUUCUCCACCGCACACCCUGGCCUGAGGGUAGCAGCCGACCCAGUCGGGGGAGUGGGCCUCCUGCGCCCUCGGAGGCACAGGACCGCGGGGCCCCACCGAGGACCCCCUGAACGGCAGCCCGCCGCGAGGCAGCGUGGGGACCAAACUGCCGCGCCCCAGAGCCCGCCGCCGCCUGUCCCCGCGUCUGAGGUCCGCAAGGAAGAGCUGCGGGAAUGCACGCCCGGGGAAGAGGCUUUGUGAACCGAGGCUCGGCGCGCCCCCCACCCGCGCCCCUCAUGGGCAGCCGGGCCCAGCCCGCCGCCCGGGCCCCUCUGGGAAGGGCUUGGAGGCGACGCGGGGGGUCGGGGGAGGAGGGAGCGUUCCUGCAAAUCACAUGAUUUUCCCGCUUAUAUAAAUCACAGCUUGUUUUUCUCAACCAGCUGCAGACUUAAAGGUGCAGUGUCUUCUUUCUCUCCCAAGGGCAGAGGUUCCCC